GACGAACGCUGGCGGCGUGCUUAACACAUGCAAGUCGAACGGAAAGGCCCUGCUUUUGUGGGGUGCUCGAGUGGCGAACGGGUGAGUAACACGUGAGUAACCUGCCCUUGACUUUGGGAUAACUUCAGGAAACUGGGGCUAAUACCGGAUAGGAGCUCCUGCUGCAUGGUGGGGGUUGGAAAGUUUCGGCGGUUGGGGAUGGACUCGCGGCUUAUCAGCUUGUUGGUGGGGUAGUGGCUUACCAAGGCUUUGACGGGUAGCCCGCCUGAGAGGGUGACCGGCCACAUUGGAACUGAGAUACGGCCCAGACUCCUACGGGAGGCAGCAGUGGGGAAUAUUGCACAAUGGGCGGAAGCCUGAUGCAGCAACGCCGCGUGCGGGAUGACGGCCUUCGGGUUGUAAACCGCUUUCGCCUGUGACGAAGCGUGAGUGACGGUAAUGGGUAAAGAAGCACCGGCUAACUACGUG
Molecule: ribosomal RNA, 468 nt
Filed under: uncultured bacterium
Lineage: Bacteria
Description: partial 16S ribosomal RNA
Rfam family: Bacterial small subunit ribosomal RNA
Source: RNAcentral